This 516-nucleotide ribosomal RNA is filed under the name uncultured Entrophospora. RNAcentral describes it as "SSU rRNA". It matches the Rfam family "Eukaryotic small subunit ribosomal RNA", at positions 569 to 1081 of the family's 1831-position model. The record is from RNAcentral. Lineage: Eukaryota; Fungi; Glomeromycota; Glomeromycetes; Entrophosporales; Entrophosporaceae.
AGCAGCCGCGGUAAUUCCAGCUCCAAUAGCGUAUAUUAAAGUUGUUGCAGUUAAAAAGCUCGUAGUUGAAUUUCGGGAUUGACACAUCGGUCGUGCCUUAAGGGAUAUGAACUGGUGUAGUCAAUUUCUCACCUUCUGGAGAACCGCGAUGCCCUUAAUUGGGUGUCGCGGGGAACCAGGACCUUUACUUUGAAAAAUUAGAGUGUUUAAAGCAGGCAUUUUGCUUGAAUACAUUAGCAUGGAAUAAUAAAAUAGGACGGCAUGAUUCUAUUUUGUUGGUUUCUAGGAUCACCGUAAUGAUUAAUAGGGAUAGUUGGGGGCAUUAGUAUUCAAUUGUCAGAGGUGAAAUUCUUGGAUUUAUUGAAGACUAACUACUGCGAAAGCAUUUGCCAAGGAUGUUUUCAUUAAUCAAGAACGAAAGUUAGGGGAUCGAAGACGAUCAGAUACCGUCGUAGUCUUAACCAUAAACUAUGCCGACUAGGAAUCAGACGAUGUUAAUUUUUAAUGUACUCGUUU